Molecule: long non-coding RNA, 228 nt
Filed under: Lathyrus oleraceus (garden pea)
Lineage: Eukaryota; Viridiplantae; Streptophyta; Magnoliopsida; Fabales; Fabaceae
Description: Pisum sativum (pea) long non-coding RNA (PSAT_LNC024323)
Source: RNAcentral
AAAGAGGAUGCCAAAAUAUGAUCCCAAUGCUUAUGUUUAUGAUGGAAUUGCAUGAGGGAUCUUAGGGUCAAAAUUGGGGUCUUACAGUUACUUUUACCGGGUAUUGGGGCAAAAGUAAAAUACUCACAAAUUGAGAAGAAUAUUACCAGUUACUGGGUAACAAACUCUCAGGCGACCCAAAAGCAUGUAUCUAAGCAAUAUCUAGAAAGAAAAGGUCAAUCAAAGACU